AGAGCGAACGCUGGCGGCAGGCCUAACACAUGCAAGUCGAGCGCCCGUAGCAAUACGGGAGCGGCAGACGGGAUAGUAACACGUGGGAACGCGCCCUUCGGUUCGGAAUAACUCAGGGAAACUUGAGCUAAUACCGGAUACGCCCUUACGGGGAAAGAUUUAUUGCCGAAGGAACGGCUCGCGUCCGAUUAGCUAGUUGGUGAGGUAAUGGCUCACCAAGGCUCCGAUCGGUAGCUGGUCUGAGAGGAUGACCAGCAUCACUGGGACUGAGACACGGCCCAGACUCCUACGGGAGGCAGCAGUGGGGAAUAUUGGACAAUGGGCGCAAGCCUGAUCCAGCCAUGCCGCGUGGAUGAUGAAGGCCUUAGGGUUGUAAAGUCCUUUUAACGGGGAAGAUAAUGACGGUACCCGUAGAAUAAGCCCCGGCUAACUUCGCGCCAGCAGCCGC
This 448-nucleotide ribosomal RNA is filed under the name uncultured bacterium. Its description in RNAcentral is "SSU rRNA". It matches the Rfam family "Bacterial small subunit ribosomal RNA", at positions 26 to 518 of the family's 1533-position model. The record is from RNAcentral.